This 344-nucleotide unclassified non-coding RNA is filed under the name soil metagenome. RNAcentral's name for it is "partial contains 5.8S ribosomal RNA, internal transcribed spacer 2, and large subunit ribosomal RNA". The stretch from base 1 to 118 matches the Rfam family "5.8S ribosomal RNA", at positions 35 to 154 of the family's 154-position model. The record is from RNAcentral.
GAUGAAGAACGCAGCGAAAUGCGAUACGUAAUGUGAAUUGCAAAUUCAGUGAAUCAUCGAGUCUUUGAACGCACAUUGCGCCCCUGGUAUUCCGGGGGGCAUGCCUGUCCGAGCGUCAUUGCUGCCCUCAAGCACGGCUUGUGUGUUGGGCCCCGUCCUCCGAUUCCGGGGGACGGGCCCGAAAGGCAGCGGCGGCACCGCGUCCGGUCCUCGAGCGUAUGGGGCUUUGUCACCCGCUCUGUAGGCCCGGCCGGCGCUUGCCGAUCAACCCAAAUUUUUAUCCAGGUUGACCUCGGAUCAGGUAGGGAUACCCGCUGAACUUAAGCAUAUCAAUAAGCGGAGGA